CAUUAGCUAGUUGGUAAGGUAACGGCUUACCAAGGCGACGAUGCAUAGCCGAGUUGAGAGACUGAUCGGCCACAUUGGGACUGAGACACGGCCCAAACUCCUACGGGAGGCAGCAGUAGGGAAUCUUCCACAAUGGGCGAAAGCCUGAUGGAGCAACGCCGCGUGAGUGAAGAAGGUUUUCGGAUCGUAAAGCUCUGUUGUUGGUGAAGAAGGAUAGAGGUAGUAACUGGCCCCUAUUUGACGGUAAUCAACCAGAAAGUCACGGCUAACUACGUGCCAGCAGCCGCGGUAAUACGUAGGUGGCAAGCGUUGUCCGGAUUUAUUGGGCGUAAAGCGAGCGCAGGCGGAAAGAUAAGUCUGAUGUGAAAGCCCCCGGCUUAACCGAGGAAUUGCAUCGGAAACUGUGUUUCUUGAGUGCAGAAGAGGAGAGUGGAACUCCAUGUGUAGCGGUGGAAUGCGUAGAUAUAUGGAAGAACACCAGUGGCGAAGGCGGCUCUCUGGUCUGUAACUGACGCUGAGGCUCGAAAGUAUGGGUAGCGAACAGGAUUAGAUACCCUGGUAGUCCAUGCCGUAAACGAUGAGUGCUAAGUGUUGGGAGGUUUCCGCCUCUCA
This 612-nucleotide ribosomal RNA is filed under the name uncultured bacterium. RNAcentral's name for it is "bacterial SSU rRNA". It matches the Rfam family "Bacterial small subunit ribosomal RNA", at positions 239 to 842 of the family's 1533-position model. The record is from RNAcentral.